Molecule: ribosomal RNA, 446 nt
Filed under: uncultured bacterium
Lineage: Bacteria
Description: partial 16S ribosomal RNA
Rfam family: Bacterial small subunit ribosomal RNA
Source: RNAcentral
CCAGACUCCUACGGGAGGCAGCAGUGGGGAAUAUUGCACAAUGGGGGGAACCCUGAUGCAGCGACGCCGCGUGGGUGAAGAAGUCAUUCGUGACGUAAAGCUCUAUCAGCAGGGAAGAAAAUGACGGUACCUGACUAAGAAGCCCCGGCUAACUACGUGCCAGCAGCCGCGGUAAUACGUAGGGGGCAAGCGUUAUCCGGAAUUACUGGGUGUAAAGGGGGCGCAGACGGCAGUGCAAGUCUGGAGUGAAAGCCCGUGGCUUAACUACGGGACUGCUUUUGAAACUGUUGAACUAGAUUGCAGGAGAGGUAAGUGGAAUUCCUAGUGUAGCGGUGAAAUGCGUAGAUAUUAGGAGGAACACCAGUGGCGAAGGCGGCUUACUGGACUGUAAAUGACGCUGAGGCUCGAAAGCGUGGGGAGCAAACAGGAUUAGAUACCCCCGUAGU